GUUAUAUGGUCAAGUGAAGAAGCGCAUACGGUGGAUGCCUUGGCAGUCAGAGGCGAUGAAAGACGUGGUAGCCUGCGAAAAGCUUCGGGGAGUCGGCAAACAGACUUUGAUCCGGAGAUGUCUGAAUGGGGGAACCCAGCCAUCAUAAGAUGGUUACCUUACACUGAAUACAUAGGUGUAAGGGGCGAACCAGGGGAACUGAAACAUCUAAGUACCCUGAGGAAAAGAAAUCAACCGAGAUUCCCUUAGUAGUGGCGAGCGAACGGGGACUAGCCCUUAAGUGGCUUUGAGAUUAGCGGAACGCUCUGGAAAGUGCGGCCAUAGUGGGUGAUAGCCCUGUACGCGAAAAUCUCUUAGUCAUGAAAUCGAGUAGGACGGAGCACGAGAAACUUUGUCUGAAUAUGGGGGGACCAUCCUCCAAGGCUAAAUACUACUGACUGACCGAUAGUGAACUAGUACCGUGAGGGAAAGGCGAAAAGAACCCCGGAGAGGGGAGUGAAAUAGAUCCUGAAACCGUAUGCGUACAAGCAGUGGGAGCCCACUUUGUUGGGUGACUGCGUACCUUUUGUAUAAUGGGUCAGCGACUUAUUUUCAGUGGCGAGCUUAACCGAAUAGGGGAGGCGUAGCGAAAGCGAGUCUUAAUAGGGCGUCUAGUCGCUGGGAAUAGACCCGAAACCGGGCGAUCUAUCCAUGGGCAGGUUGAAGGUUGGGUAACACUAACUGGAGGACCGAACCGACUACCGUUGAAAAGUUAGCGGAUGACCUGUGGAUCGGAGUGAAAGGCUAAUCAAGCUCGGAGAUAGCUGGUUCUCCUCGAAAGCUAUUUAGGUAGCGCCUCAUGUAUCACUGUAGGGGGUAGAGCACUGUUUCGGCUAGGGGGUCAUCCCGACUUACCAAACCGAUGCAAACUCCGAAUACCUACAAGUGCCGAGCAU
RNAcentral lists this ribosomal RNA (935 nucleotides) under Caballeronia zhejiangensis. RNAcentral describes it as "bacterial LSU rRNA". It matches the Rfam family "Bacterial large subunit ribosomal RNA", at positions 1 to 978 of the family's 2925-position model. Lineage: Bacteria; Pseudomonadati; Pseudomonadota; Betaproteobacteria; Burkholderiales; Burkholderiaceae. The record is from RNAcentral.